CAAAAUCGAGGAAUUACCGUUAACAGUUUACCUCAAACCCGGACUCGUAGCUAUUGCUUGUGCCGUCGAAGAAAUGAGUUUUUCAUUGCUUUUUCAAGUCAGUGAAGCCGAAGACCACUUAAAUCUAAGCCGUCGUUUGAAAGUUCACGAUAUUCAGCUGCCUUAUCCUUUUAAAAUGAAUGUUUUAAACGAUUUUAAGCAUUCUCGCGCGUUGUUUGAUAUAUUUAAUAUUAAUCAUCUCAUAUAUCACUCGUCAGAAUAUGACAAGCAAAGUCUAGCAGCAGCUUAUAAAUAUCUUUUACAUAUCGUACGCAUUUUAAUGUUGCGUUUUAUAUGCUAGACGGAGAUUAGGAUUAUUAUUCUCCGUACUAGUUAUUGCUGAUACAGGGUCUAGAUGUUCUUCAGUAGGACCAUUUUGUCCAACAAAAUGAAGGCUAUAAAUGAAGGCUAUACAAAAAUAUAACUAUCCUUCGUACAUAUAAAUUUAUCGCCUCUGUGACAUGCACGUAUCCAGCCCUCUCGUUUUUGCGCUG
Molecule: non-coding RNA, 533 nt
Organism: Paramuricea clavata
Lineage: Eukaryota; Metazoa; Cnidaria; Anthozoa; Malacalcyonacea; Plexauridae
Source: the annotation of a GenBank genome assembly